Long non-coding RNA from Motacilla alba alba, 967 nucleotides. RefSeq lists it as uncharacterized. The transcript has 2 exons. The record is from RefSeq and is a predicted model, not a curated record. Lineage: Eukaryota; Metazoa; Chordata; Aves; Passeriformes; Motacillidae.
GGUACAGCAGCUCGUAGCAAGCGCUGUGGCUAAUUCCAGACCAAAGGGGAAGCAGGAUAAGAGGAAAUUUAUGAGUAAGCUCUUGAAGUAAUGAAACGAAAGUAAUGCUGAUUGGCCUCAUUUGCAGCAGUUCAAAAGCUGAUCAGCAUCGCUGAAGUAGUGAAGGAUCAACUGACAAUCAUUUCCGUGGUGAGGAGCGGAGCUGACCCGCUGAACACGGCCCGGGGGGUCCGGGCCCGGGGGCCACAGCUGCUCCCAAAUCCCCUCUCUGCAUCACCCGCUCACCUGCUGGCCCUGCCAGGGCAGCUCCCUUGGGAAACGGGGCCGGAGCAGUUCACGGGGCGCUGUAAAAUGGGGAGACAGAGCUGGAGAGUGGGCAGUGCCCAGAGACACCUCCCAGGAGCUGAGCACCAUGCAUGGAAAGCACUGCCCCAGGGCAAAGAGGAACCUGUGACCAGGUGGGCUUCACAAGGACAGGACCUGGGCUGAGAUCCCAGCAAGAGCUCCUGUCCUGGGAGCUGGAGGGGCUGUGGCAGCCCGGGGGACCAUGGCCCCUGCAGCACAUGAUCUUCCCUGUGCACAAUCACGGGAGCCAGGAACCGACAAACCCACAUGAGAGCUGCUGGAUCUUCGACUGCCCUGGAGCCUGUAUUUAGGAUAACAACGGUUCCUCUUUUCCUCUUUUUCUGCUUCAUCUGCCUGCCGGGGCAAAACUGAGCCCGAGCCGCCCUGCGCUGUCCGCGCUGCUCCGGGAGCCGUGUCCCCGGCGCUCUGCCCUGGGGACGCGGCUGCUGCGGCUGGGACCGGGCGCGCUGGGACCGCGGGGCUGGGUUUAACUACAGCCACACGGCAAACCCAGACAGGGCACCGUCAGAAUUCAGCGGCUGCCAAGCGUAUCUGGGGACCUGCGGGGUGAUGGCAGAUGGCGGAAGGAGUUUCUUUAUAAACUGAGAAUGCAGACGUGGAA